AAGGGAGACCUAAUUCGGGUAGAAGACGAAAAAAUAGUAGUCGAAACCAAGAAUCAAUCCCAAAAGGUCGGAACGAGGUAUGUGGCUUUCAAACUAGGUUCUGGGUUCACAAAAGACCUGAAUCAGGAACAAGGGCUAUUAGCUCAGGUGGUUAGAGCGCACCCCUGAUAAGGGUGAGGUCCCUGGUUCGAGUCCAGGAUGGCCCACCUGCACAGGUGGCAAAAACAAGAGAAACGAGGAAUCAGCACCUUAUCUUACUUACAUAGUAAGAGAGAAUGCUGGCUCUGAGUAAAGAGUCCAGAGGAACCUUGAAAACUGCAUAGAGCUAGGUGAAAAAGCCAAAGAAGAAGACCGCAA
This 357-nucleotide transfer RNA is filed under the name uncultured Microcystis sp. RNAcentral describes it as "partial 16S-23S ribosomal RNA intergenic spacer". The stretch from base 133 to 206 matches the Rfam family "tRNA". Lineage: Bacteria; Bacillati; Cyanobacteriota; Cyanophyceae; Chroococcales; Microcystaceae. The record is from RNAcentral.